ACACAGGUGGUCAGGUAGAGAAUACCAAGGCGCUUGAGAGAACUCGGGUGAAGGAACUAGGCAAAAUGGUGCCGUAACUUCGGGAGAAGGCACGCUGACACGUAGGUGAAGUGAUUUACUCACGGAGCUGAAGUCAGUCGAAGAUACCAGCUGGCUGCAACUGUUUAUUAAAAACACAGCACUGUGCAAACACGAAAGUGG
Molecule: ribosomal RNA, 201 nt
Filed under: Salmonella enterica subsp. enterica serovar Infantis
Lineage: Bacteria; Pseudomonadati; Pseudomonadota; Gammaproteobacteria; Enterobacterales; Enterobacteriaceae
Description: partial 23S ribosomal RNA
Rfam family: Bacterial large subunit ribosomal RNA
Source: RNAcentral